This 6137-nucleotide long non-coding RNA is filed under the name Eucalyptus grandis. RNAcentral's name for it is "long non-coding RNA (EGRA_LNC004676)". The record is from RNAcentral. Lineage: Eukaryota; Viridiplantae; Streptophyta; Magnoliopsida; Myrtales; Myrtaceae.
CUGGAGAGAACAACACGCGGGGACGGCAGACCAUGCCAAGAUUUAGGCGCAUUGGUGUCCGUUUUCUACCGACGCCUUUUGAAUUGGUUGACGACAAUCGUGAUGGGGGCCCGCCGCCGGCACCUGCUUCUGCCGAGGGGAAUGAGAACCAUCCUAAAGAGAGACGAGAUGGGUGGUCAGAGAUAGAGCUAGGUGAGUUCUUGACGAAGGAUGGAGAAGACGGGGAGGUUGAAAUGAGUGUCAUGGAGACGAAGGGCGGCAACUGGAAGGCCGGGCUGGUCGUGGAGGGGAUCGAAAUAAGGCCCAAGGAAGGGAAAGAAUAGUGCCUUUAUGCAGGGCUUGCGUCAGUUUGUUCUGUCUCUUGAUUAAGAGCCUUUUCUCUCUGCUUCGUUGUUGUUAUUAUAAUGUUCUUUUUAUCAAAUUGUAGUAGCUUUCUACCAAAUCAGAAAGCGUGCUUGUGAUCUAAUAUUCAAUUCAAUGUAAGCGGGAAAAGCAUAUGUCACGGAGUGAACGCCCAAUGCCUUUUGCAUAUGAUGGGAAUUAGAUGUAGACUUCCACGGACUCACCCGGACACUCAAGUACUGUUUUUAUAAAACAUCUGCAAAAUGAUACCUUAUCUUACUACUCCAACCACCUCUGUUGGUAUCGACGGGAAUAUAUGUGACUCCAUUGAUGAUAUACGAACGCAAUCUCUGCGGUGCGCUGGUGCCUGCGCCUCUCUUCCGGGGUAAAAGAAAGAAAAGCAGAGUCAAAGCCAAUGACCGGGCUAAAAUAAUUUCCUGUUGACAAGCUGAAUGUUGUAGCACAACUCAUAAAAACUGGAGGCGCCUUGCCAUGCAGGACUGGUGAACCGUCUUGGAGGCGACUUUUAUCUGGCGGUCAGGUUCAACCAUGAAAACUCUGCUUACUUCUCCUUGUUAAUUUCCUAGUUUUCUUGGAGUUUUCGUUGUUUUGUUGGAAACGAAAGGGGCCUAGUGCCGUUUUCUGAGACCAAAAUAAGGGAAAAAACCCGGUUUUCUUCGUGAGGGUGGGGUUUGCUCGAAUCUGAGACAACCAUUCUUAAUCCAUUUAUGGAGCCGAUAGCGUAAACUUUCCAAAGGAUUAAGGGAGAAAUUGUUCUCUUCGGAUCUCAAUAAGCGUUUCAUGUAUGCUAAUAAAAUGGAAAGAAGCCCCUCCAUUCGCAUCCAGAUUAGUCAGGGCCAAAGGCUCCGGAUACCGGGUGGUCACUGACCGAAAAAAAAAUGGAAAGGAGUCGUACUUCAGCAAAGGAUGCAUAAACACACGAGCACAUAACAAAACGAUAAUGACAUGAAAACCUUGAUCCGCAGCAAUGCCGGACAGCUCUUCAGGUUUGCCAUAUCGUUGAAAAUGCAGCACUGCCGCUGUCAACAGUCGAACUCCGCAAAUUUAUCGCCGCGUUUACCGCUGGAUGAGUGGCUUCUGGACUUGAUGGAACUCUUGUAGUCUUCGAAUCAGCCACGGCAACUUUGCACUUGAUGUUUUUUCAACAGGUUGGUUCUUUGCAUACAAAAACUGGCAACUACGCGCAUGCCAAACCUCUGCAAUGGCCCUCAAACUCAAUGCCAGUCCUUCCUAACCUUUCAGUCUACCUCCCUGUACAGCUCACGGCGCGCCAUCGCUUCGCUGCUCAGGUCAAAUGCGUUGGACAUAGCCAUCAUCAACACCAUCAAAUCCGCCCCCGAAGAAAAACGUUCCGAUAACUUGGUCAUAGUUCCACUUCCCUGCUAGUGCACUGGAAGGAUUUACUUGGCACGAGGCCGCUUAAUCUUAGGUUUUGUUCAGAGAUGCGAAUUGCAGAUCUUCAAGGCAAGUUGAAAUGGCUGUGUAAAAGCGGGGGUGCGUUUUGGAUAUGCCCAUGGCAUUUUUAGUAAUCAAAUCAACAUUUUUAUCAUCAGUAGAAAAAUUGUUAAUGAGCACUUUGAGGGUACUCGUAAAAAGACCCGUUCAAGGAAAGAUAGCAGUUUGCAAUACUCUCCCUUUCUCCUUUUAUGUGUAAUUAUGCAUCGAAAAAACAAAAAUAUUUUGGUAUCAAGUAUAUUUAAUCAUUGCCCUGGACACUCACUAACAAAGACCUAAAUAUUCCAUUUUCAGGACUUAUAUUGAAUUUGAAUAUGUCUUUUGCAACCCAAAAGAAUUCAUGAGAGGGUUUAUUUCAUUUUUGGAUAUGCAUCAAGUAGGUUCAAGAGAUGAGAAAAUUAAUGAUAUAUAUGUUCAAGAAUUAACUCGCACAGUAUAGGGUUCAUGAUCAAUGAUUAAUCCAGUCCCUUUAAAAUCAUGCUUACCCAUCUUGUCUCUUUUGGGUAACAUGUGAUUCAAAAUAUCUCAUUAUCAAACAUAUUUAACCACUUUUACCAAAAAAAAAAGAAAAAACAUAUUUAAUCAGUGCUUUGGAUAUUCGAUCACAAGACCUAAUCAAUAACAAGGCCCCGAUCAAUAACAAGGCCCAAAACAAAUUCCAUUCGUUUUUGAUGCCCGUUGAAGCGAUGGAGUCAUUACCACCCUACCAUUUACUUGUCUCAUAAGAAAUGAUUUGCUGCGCUCAAAAUGCAAUCUUUGGUCAACCUUCUUUUUAAGAGGGCAUCCAUCUAAAAUACAAUAUAUUUAUCGCUUUCUUUAAAUAUUUUCCUCGUUUCCUUAGUCAUUUCCACUCUCUCUCUCUGGAUGUCCUUUUCUGCCGGUUGCUGAUUCAGCAGAGACCCUCCAUGCCCCAAACCUUUGGCACGAAGAUUCCUCUGUCUUUUUGUUUUUUUGGUCACUGCCAUUAAGAUUUCACUAUCCAUUGAUUUGACAACACCUCCUCUCUCAAUCACUCUCUGUACAUCAUCAUCAUCAUCUCCUCGAAAGGCGUUGCCUUUACACCGUUUUGGCUACACCCAUCACCGGAGUCGUAAUUUCUCUCCCUACUUCUCUGUUUCCUGUAUAAACUCGACAAAUUACGCUGUGAAUCGCCGCCGCCUCGUCGAAAGGCGUCGCCUUUACACCGUUUUGGCCACACCCAUUAUCGGCGUCCCUGGUAUUUCUCUCUCUGCUUCUCCGUCUCUGUGUAGAUUCGACGAAUUACGCGGCGAAUCUCCGUCGCCCCGUCGAAAGGCGUCCCCUUUAAGCGGUUUCGGACGCACCCAUUUUCUUGGAUUUUUUUUUUUCAAUGGCGGCGGCCGAAGCGGCGAAGGGUCGAGACGGUCCCGACUUCUCGGAGCUGCCCGAAGGGUGUAUCGCCAGCGUCGUCUCCUUCACGAGCCCCGCCGACGCGUGCCGGCUCGCGCCCGUCUCGUCCCUCUUCAAGUCGGCGUGCGAUUCCGACGCGGUGUGGGCAUCGUUCUUGCCGCCGGAAUGCCGCCAGAUGGUGCCCCGGAGAGUCUCGUCGCUGAAGGAGCUCUAUUUCAGCCUCUGCGACGACCCGGUUCUCGUCGACGAUGGCAAAAUGGUAAGUCUUCCACCCUCAAACCGCCUCUUCCUAUUCUUUUUGCAUUAUAAUUUUUGCUGCGGACCGAGGGGGUGAUGCGCGAUAGCUUUUCUUCAUGUUAGACUUAAUAGAAUAUUGAAAUGUGAUGCAUGUGAUGUGCUGUCGCCUGCACGUUUCGACACUUUGCGAAUUCGGCUGGCCAAUAAAAAAAUAAAAUUGUUGUUUCAUUGUCGAGUAGUCGGCUCUGAAGGCGGUGUCGUCAGCACAUGCUUCUUGGCCUCUUCCCGCCUGAACCGAGUGAAUGCAUUUCUUCAAGGAGAAGCUAUUGUCAUGUGAUAAUCACGCUGUGGCUUCCACUGGACAUUAUUCUUUUGCACACGGCCGCCAGCCGCACGUGGAAGGUUGAUUGAAUUGUGUAAAUGAACCAACUCAAUGGUUUAAGUCUGUGAGAUAAAUAAUGAUAAAUGAAGGGUGAAAAGGAUCUUUCAUUUGAAAAAUGACAAGAUCCAAAUGGCUUGGAGCAAAGAAUGGAUAAAUAUAUUGAAUCACUUAAUUUACAAUGCUAAGAGCAUGAAGAUUAUCAUUACUUUAAUCACUUAAUUUACAAUGCUAAGAGCAUGAAGAUUAUCAUUACUGUUGAUAGCGUACCUUGAUGACCACUAAUGGAAUGCAUCUUUAGGGGUGAAUCUGUAUAUGGCUUUAAGACUGUCUGUUACCUUUUGGUCUACUUUUUUCUUUUCAGUUAAUUGCUCAAAAUCCUCCCAAACUUUGUUAGCAUUGCUAUUUAGCCCCUAAACUUUAAAUUGGCACCGUUGAAUAGUGGCCGUGUAACUUUGAAAAGUUACAUUUUACGCCGGAGUUUUGAUUUUUUCUUUUUAGUGGUUAGUUUUCCGUCUACAUAACUGGUAAGUAUUAUCAGAAAACGGAUAACGCAAUUCUUUUGACCAAAAUAGUCCCUGCUGAAUUUUCUUGUCUUCAUCAAUCAUGUAUCUUUUCUAUUUUGUUAACUUUAUCAACCAUAUAAUAGUGCCUCGACUCGGUUGAGUAAUGUAGUUCGCUCAGCUCGAGCAGCGGACUUGUUCUAUUUUAGUGGAAAGACAUUUCUCUUUGGGAAAAAACAUAAUCUUUCUAUAUUUGUUUGUUAGAGUAAGACGUGUAUUUUCUUGUAACAGUUAACGCCUAUAGAGAUAGAAUAACCAGCGAUUGCAACAAAAAAAUCAAAGUUUAUAGGGGAAUGUGUAACUUUACAAGUUUUUUAGGGGUCAUUAUGCAAUGGUUCUAAAGUUGAGGUGGUUUUAAACAAUCACUCCUUUCAUUUUCUUUUGGUUGCUUUUGUGUGGCGUGAAACGUGUUAUCCUACUUCAAUCUUGGCGAUAAAGUCAAUCAACAACUUUUGCUAAAAAAAGCCAAGACAAGCACUCUCACUAUUUUAUUGGAAAGGGACAGCACAUAUGGUGGAAUAAGUGCUAAGAUGUAUUGCUUUUGCGUAUAUUAUAUCUGCUGAAACAGUGAAUUUCAUUUACUCAAAACGACUUUGGUUCAGUUUCUUGUUGCUCACGUGAAUCCAACAUGCUUUGCAGAGCUUUUCGCUGGAGAGGCACAGUGGGAAGAAAUGUAUCAUGCUAUCUGCAAGGGCCCUGUCUAUAACAUGGGGUGAUACUCCCAGGUACUGGUCUUGGAAUCCCAUGACCGACUCCCGGUAAAAACAUUAUUUCCUCCACUCUCUCACCUUCAGGAAGAUAGUGGGCGUACAUUAAUUGUUCGUCUCAACAAUACAACUCCCUUUGUCUCUCCGUCGUGACGAUCGAAUGGAAUGUCUUUGGUCAAUAACAGGUUCUCAGAAGUUGCUGAACUCAUCAAUGUAUGUUGGCUCGAGAUCAGAGGUAGAAUUAGUUCUCGCAUGUUGUCGCCUGGAACCCGUUAUGCAGCGUACUUUGGUAUUUAAAUCCACUCCGACAUUUUAUGGAUUUGACUUCCAGUCUGUUGAGGUUGGAGUUGGAUUUGUGGAUGAUGAAGCGGGUAAGCGUGAGCGCUCGGUUUACUUAUCUGGAGAGAACAACACGCGGGGACGGCAGACCAUGCCAAGAUUGACCGUGCCAAGAUUUAGGCGCAUUGGUUUCCGUUUUCUACCGAUGCCUUUUGAAUUGGUUGACGACAAUCGUGAUGGGGGCCCGCGGCCGGCACCUGCUUCUGCCGAGGGGAAUGAGAACCAUCCUAAAGAGAGACGAGAUGGGUGGUCAGAGAUAGAGCUAGGUGAGUUCUUGACGAAGGAUGGAGAAGACGGGGAGGUUGAAAUGAGUGUCAUGGAGACGAAGGGCGGCAACUGGAAGGCCGGGCUGGUCGUGGAGGGGAUCGAAAUUAGGCCCAAGGAAGGGAAAGAAUAGCGCCUUUAUGCAGGGCAUGUGUCAGUUUGUUGUGUCUCUUGAUUAAGAGCCUUUUCUCUCUGCUUCGCUGUUGUUAUUAUAAUGUUCUUUUUAUCAAUUUGUAGUAGCUUUCUACCAAAUCAGAAAGCAUCAAUCUUAGCGGGAAAAGCAUAUGUCGUGGAGCGGAUGGUUUGUGAUCUGGUUAAUGAACGCCCAAUGCCUUUUGCAUACGAUGGAACUUAGAUGUAGACUUCCUCGGACUCACCUGGUCACUCAAGCACUGUUCCUGUAAAACAUCUGCAAAAUGAUACCUUAUCUUACUACUCCAACCUCCUCUGUUGGUAUUGACG